UUACACCUUAACCCUAAAUACCGGAUAAUAUAAACCACAGUUCAAAAUUCAAAGAAUCUGGCGGUAUCUUAAAUUAACAGGGGAACCUGUCACUUAAUUCGAUAAUCCACGCUCACUCAUCCAGUUUUUGUAUCUCAGCCUGUGUACUGCUGUCGCCAGUAAGCCUCUAAAAGCAAGCCUACAACAAACCUCAAUAAAACGUCAAGUCAAAGUGCAGCCAAUAAAUUGGAGUAGAUGGGUUACAACCUCAAUUCAAAGAAUGAAUUACCCCUUCAAACAAGGGCAUGAAACUGGACUUGUAAGUAAUAAAACGUAAAGAGAACUAUUAUAAAUUAAAUCCUAAGAUAUGUACACAUCGCCCGUCACUCUCGUCAAAAGACU
RNAcentral lists this ribosomal RNA (381 nucleotides) under Hemienchytraeus sp. PDW-2010. RNAcentral's name for it is "partial 12S ribosomal RNA". It matches the Rfam family "Microsporidia small subunit ribosomal RNA", at positions 752 to 1217 of the family's 1311-position model. The record is from RNAcentral. Lineage: Eukaryota; Metazoa; Annelida; Clitellata; Enchytraeida; Enchytraeidae.